RNAcentral lists this ribosomal RNA (253 nucleotides) under uncultured bacterium. Its description in RNAcentral is "partial 16S ribosomal RNA". It matches the Rfam family "Bacterial small subunit ribosomal RNA", at positions 524 to 776 of the family's 1533-position model. The record is from RNAcentral.
UACGUAGGGUGCAAGCGUUGUCCGGAAUUAUUGGGCGUAAAGAGCUCGUAGGCGGUUUGUUGCGUCGGCUGUGAAAUCCCGAGGCUCAACCUCGGGUCUGCAGUCGAUACGAGCAAACUAGAGUGUUGCAGGGGAGACUGGAAUUCCUGGUGUAGCGGUGAAAUGCGUAGAGAUCCGGAGGAACGCCAGUGACGAAGGUGGCCACCUGGCCCUCGCCUGACACUGAGACGCGAAAGCGUGGGGAGCGAACCGG